RNAcentral lists this non-coding RNA (1112 nucleotides) under Pongo abelii (Sumatran orangutan). Lineage: Eukaryota; Metazoa; Chordata; Mammalia; Primates; Hominidae. The record is from RNAcentral.
AGGUCUGUUGAAAACUUGCUUCGUAAAUGAUUUGCAUAUACAAGAACUCGGAGAAAGCAUCCUGUUUUGUUGAGAGGUGCACCAAGUGACUUUUUCAUCACUGGUUUCAUAACGAGGUUUGCUGGCAGCUGUGUCUCAGAAAAAGCUGUCUUCAGCAAGGCAGAAGCAGAGGAUUUUCUAGAAGAUUUGCACUAUCAGCUUGGUAUUCAAUUCUUUAGCUUGAAAUGAUUUCAGUGCCUAACUGAAAAUACUCAUAUUGUCAAAGGCACACUAUGGACUUUCAAGUCACAGGUGAUAUUACUACAGUAUCUCCAACAAGUGUUAAGGGAAGCAUAAUACUAAUUCAGUGAGACAUAUGGCUCUAAAACCUUCUCAUCUAAUAUUUAAGUAAAUAACAUCUUUCUACCUGUUCAAGUCAGAAAUUCCAACUGCAAUACAAAUAGACAAAUAUAAAAAUAGUGCUGGGUCAAUGUACUUUUAAGGAAGGGGAUUUCUCCUGACCCCUGAUGGCAACGGUAACUGUUUACUGCACUGUACACAGUCUCAGGGAGUUCCUCACAUACUGUACUGGUGUCUGAUAUCAGGAACUCCUCUAUGUUCAGCAGAGAGGUGGAAAUCAAUCUGCAUUCUCGAUUAGGGUUUAUAGCCACACCGUCUUGAAAUGCAGUUAGUCGUACAAGUACAUUUUUUUUCUAAUUCUUGUGACAAUAUGUCAGUUUUUAAAUUUAUAUUUCAAACAAAUGCGAAAUAGAGUAAGUUUUCAUAUUGUUUACACCACAUUCAUGCAAUGUAUUUAAUGUAUGAACUUGUACAAAGUGUCGUCAUCAUCUUCAUGAAUAUAUAGAUGUAUGUAUAUGUGUAUACAUAUGUAUACAGACUGUGUGUGUGAAAUAAACUAUACAAAAUAUCCAAACUGUUAGGACUAGAAAUAGGUACUUGCAACUACAGAAUCACAGAAUUGCUACUACAACACCAUUUACUUCAUAUAUAUCUCUUCGAUUUCCCUUUAUAUGUAUUUAUAUUUACAUUUAAAUUAUUGUAAUUGUUGUUAGGGUGCAUAAUUGUUAGUAAGCACCACUCAGAACUAAGAAAAUAAAGAUUAUAGAAAAUUA